CAGGGGCACUGGGAAGGACUGUCCCCCUUGGGCUGGCAGCCCCAGAGCUCCUGAGGAGCCAACCAGGUGCUGGAUCAUCUCUGCUGUGCCUGA
Molecule: non-coding RNA, 93 nt
Organism: Turdus rufiventris (rufous-bellied thrush)
Lineage: Eukaryota; Metazoa; Chordata; Aves; Passeriformes; Turdidae
Source: the annotation of a GenBank genome assembly